This 200-nucleotide ribosomal RNA is filed under the name uncultured bacterium. RNAcentral's name for it is "partial 16S ribosomal RNA". It matches the Rfam family "Bacterial small subunit ribosomal RNA", at positions 328 to 538 of the family's 1533-position model. The record is from RNAcentral.
ACGCUCGACACCUACGGGGGCAGCAGUCGGGAAUAUUGCGCAAUGGAGGAAACUCUGACGCAGUGACGCCGCGUAUAGGAAGAAGGUUUUCGGAUUGUAAACUAUUGUCGUUAGGGAAGAAAAAGGACAGUACCUAAGGAGGAAGCUCCGGCUAACUACGUGCCAGCAGCAGCGGUAAUCUGAGGCGGGCUGGACAAGGC